CCGAAACGUUGAUCUCUAAUUCCAAAAAUUAUUUGGGAGCCAUUUCUGUUUUCGACUAAAAGUACAGACGAUUGAAGGAAAUUUCUACAACGAGAACGAUAAAUAAAAGGAUUGUACACUUGGAAAGACUAGGAUGGAAAGUUUCAUUACCAAGAAAACGAUGAAACUUGUUCGAUUUUAUUUUCAAAAUUGACGCUGCGAGAACACCGCAGCUUCUUUAAUGUUUGGAAUACUAUCUCCAACAGCCUGCCUAUUAUUCCUAUAUUUCUAGCGAUAGCGAUAAACAAUGGUUCCUCCGAAGGAAAUUUUUGACAAUGGCAAGUUUCCUACCUUUCGAAUUUGAACUCGUCAUAAGAAAUCCCGAACUCAAGGGCGAAGACUCCCCACCCCUCCUUCUGGGACUAUAAAGAAAGGGUUAAGAAAAUAAAGCACGAGCCCUAGAACAUUUUAACAUUACAACCCAAAAUUUUAAUAACAGUUAUGGAGAAUUUCCUGGAAACAAAACGUCAAGGCCGAGACUAGCAAUGAUCCACAUUUGGCCGAUAUUAUUUUUAAACCGUAAUGUAAAUGUAUUUCUAUAAGUUGCAUUUAACGGCAACAAAUAAAUAAUGUUGAAGGGAAAA
Molecule: long non-coding RNA, 623 nt
Organism: Stegodyphus dumicola
Lineage: Eukaryota; Metazoa; Arthropoda; Arachnida; Araneae; Eresidae
Source: RefSeq, a predicted model, not a curated record